This 876-nucleotide ribosomal RNA is filed under the name Helotiales sp. RNAcentral describes it as "partial large subunit ribosomal RNA". It matches the Rfam family "Eukaryotic large subunit ribosomal RNA", at positions 50 to 943 of the family's 3401-position model. Lineage: Eukaryota; Fungi; Ascomycota; Leotiomycetes; Helotiales. The record is from RNAcentral.
GAAUCGUUUAGUAGACCAACAGGGAUUACCUCAGUAACGGCGAGUGAAGCGGUAACAGCUCAAAUUUGAAAUCUGGCUCUUUCAGGGUCCGAGUUGUAAUUUGUAGAAGAUGCUUUGGGCAUUGCUCCGGUCUAAGUUCCUUGGAACAGGACGUCAUAGAGGGUGAGAAUCCCGUAUGUGACUGGUGGCAUUUGUCCGUGUAAAGCUCUUUCGACGAGUCGAGUUGUUUGGGAAUGCAGCUCAAAAUGGGUGGUAUAUUUCAUCUAAAGCUAAAUAUUGGCCAGAGACCGAUAGCGCACAAGUAGAGUGAUCGAAAGAUGAAAAGCACUUUGGAAAGAGAGUUAAACAGUACGUGAAAUUGUUGAAAGGGAAGCGCUUGCAACCAGACUUGCAGGUCGUUGAUCAUCCGGGGUUCUCCCCGGUGCACUCGGCGGCUUUCAGGCCAGCAUCGGUUUGAGUGGUGGGAUAAAGGCCUUGGGAAUGUGGCUCCUCUCGGGGAGUGUUAUAGCCCAAGGUGCAAUGCCGCCUAUUCGGACCGAGGACCGCGCUUCGGCUAGGAUGCUGGCGUAAUGGUUGUAAGCGACCCGUCUUGAAACACGGACCAAGGAGUCUAACAUCUAUGCGAGUGUUUGGGUGUCAAACCCAUACGCGUAAUUAACGUGAACGGAGGUAAGAACCCUUAAGGGUGCAUUAUCGACCGAUCCUGAUGUCUUCGGAUGGAUUUGAGUAAGAGCAUAGCUGUUGGGACCCGAAAGAUGGUGAACUAUGCCUGAAUAGGGUGAAGCCAGAGGAAACUCUGGUGGAGGCUCGCAGCGGUUCUGACGUGCAAAUCGAUCGUCAAAUUUGGGUAUAGGGGCGAAAGACUAAUCGAACCAU